This is a long non-coding RNA of Hyla sarda, 978 nucleotides long. RefSeq lists it as uncharacterized. NCBI's taxonomy places the organism in Eukaryota, Metazoa, Chordata, Amphibia, Anura, Hylidae. The transcript is spliced from 3 exons. The record is from RefSeq and is a predicted model, not a curated record.
GCCCACAGAACUAGAGCUGAAACAACUAUUUGAUAAUGAAAAUGAUUGUCAAUGAUUUUUAUUAUAAAUUAGUUGGUUGGUUGAUUAGUUGGUCUGCUUGCCUGCCUGCACUGUAAUUGUGUUGGACAUGCAGUUAAGGGUUUAUGAGUGGGGCUCAACAAUAGAGCCUACUCCAUACCCAUGGGAACCCAGCUACUUUCAGCAGCUGGGGGCCAUUGCUAAUUGUUGAAGCAGAGAAAUAGAUGCAGCAUCUAAGAGGCCAAGUGUCAUUGGUGGUGCGGAUUGCCCCCUGUUAAAUUGUCACAGCAGCCCAAAGCCUUUGCUAGGCAGAUGUAGCUACCAGGACUCUAUUGACAGAGGCUGCCAUAGGAAGGCUCUAUCAGUAGCAGAGUGUCAAUCUUAUGGAUCAAUGCUAUACAUAUUGUAAGAGACUUGCCUUCCAUUUCUCCCACAUCACAAUCACUCCCAGCAGGGUGCUGUCAGGAGCAUCCUCUUGUCACUAUGACAACAGGCUCUGCUCGGCAUACAGCUGCAGGUCAUUCUACUUUUAGUGUGGCCAGCCAAUCAUAUAUGGUGUUGGUGCUCACAACUCCUGUGGGGAGAAUUGAAAAAACAGUCAACUGCUGCAGUCAGGCAAACAGCGGUAGACACAGCUCUCCCUCUCGCCCACUCCACGACACGAGACUAGGACCGGACCCUCGAUCCAGAGCAACAGCAAAGACAAAAGGCAAUGUCCAGCGUGGAAGUUCGAGCAAUUCUUGGAAGUUUAUUCAGCAAUUAGCCAACAUGACAAACAGUUUCAGCUACUUAGGAAUAUGAAGUUUAUACAUCUGAAACUACCCUGGAUGCCUAAGCCAUUUAGUGGUCUCCUCAGUAAUAGCAAGAGAUGUUCCUGUCUGACUGCACAUGUAGAGAUUCACUGUAAUCCUCUGAGGAAGAUUGAAGAAGAGGGUCUUUGGGGUGCACACCAUGGAUGAC